AAGUUUCAGGAGAUCUGAUGGGUUUAUCAGGGGUUUCCACUUUUGCUUCUUCCUCAUUUUCUCUUGCUGCUGCCAUGUAAGAAGUGCCUUUUGCCUCCCACCGUGAUUCUGAGGCCUCCCCAGCCAUGUGGAACUAUACACUGCCUCUAGGACUGGGACAGAUAGCCACUGAGUACCUGCUUCAAAUCACCCUGCACGUUUUCUCUUUGGAAAGAUAAGCACUGGAGAACCAUCUCGUUACCUUCAGCAGAAAUGGAAACAAAUCAAGACAUUAAGAAUGCCGCAGUGGACAGCAGUUAUGCAAGGUUCAGCAGAGGAAGUUUUCAAGAUGGUGUGCCUCACUAGCCAGAAAUCAGAAAAGAUCGAAGCUAGCCUUUUCAUCUCAGCUGCUCCUUAAAUCAGUGCAACCCCUCCAAAUUAAUGUGAAUUGAAACUUGCAUUGCUUUUCAACUUAAUUGAAUACUUACUAUAUGUGAACCACUGCACAAAAUAGGGGAAGAAGAUGUGGGAGACAAAGAUGUGGAGCCUGUCUUCAAUAAAUUUACAGUUAGUUUCAGGGUACAUUGUUUUUCUUCUGCUGUUAAUUAGGUGUAUCCCCAAGACAAUAAAUACAUGAAUGGAAAAGUAUAUUCUGUGUUUUAAGUCUCUUUAAUAAAAAACAAAACAAAAUCCAAAAAAACUCCUAACAUGGCAACUCAGGACAUUUUAAUCCUUUUUUUUGUUGUUGGGCUUCUGAUAGGAUCCAUUUUAUUGAUUCCAUAAAUAUUUAGUAGACUUUAGACAUAUUAAUACAUUGUAGUUUGAGUUAAUUUGCAUUAAAUUCUGUUUUUUUCCCCUUAGGUAUAGAUUGUCUGUUGGAAAAAUAUAUUGCUUGUGGAUUUCUUGGGGAGUGGGAAGGUGAAUUAUACCUGUUGUCUCUACAGUCCACUACCUUCCACACCCUAGGGCAGUGGUCCCCAACCUUCUUGGCACCAGGGAUCAGUUUCCUGGAAGACAAUUUUUCUGUGGAUGGUGUGGGGAUGGUUUUGGGAUGGAACUGUUCCACCUCAGAUCAUCAGGCAUUAGUUAGGCUCUCAUAACGAGUGCGCAGCCUAGAUCCCUCACAUGCACAGUUCACAGUAGGGUUUGCGCUGCUAUGAGAAUCUAAGGCUGCCACUGAUCUGACAGGAGGCAGAACUCAGGUGGCAAUGCUUACUGGCCCACUGCUCACCUCUUGCUGUGCGGCCUGGUUCCUAAUAGGCCAUGGACCCCCACAGACGGGUACUAGUCUGCAGCCUGUGGACCCCAGCCCUAGGGGCCUGCCAUUCUGAGUGAGUUAUUAGCAUGAAGAAGAGGAAGAUCUGGAUCAAACGUGGGUGAUGGUACUCAGAGACCCAAGAUAGGAUAGGGAUGGAACAAAAUCCAUCUGGGCAACGGCUCUAUGAAAAUUUGGCUAAGUAAUUAUUUCAGUAUUCAUUGUAUUCAUUGUCCUUCGUGUUCCAUAAGUUAAAUGACUGUCUAAUUUUUCCAAAAAUUUAUUUCUGACUUGAGAAUAAGUGUGUCAUGAUUUUCCCAGUGUAAAGACACUGAUAUAACUGUAGAUACCAGACAUUUUAUGUAGUGUCUAUGACACAUUUUAGUAUGUAUGAGCCAACAAUAGACAUGUCUUUGUCUUGAGGAGUGUCCAUCUGAAUUGAAAAUGUGUCAGCUUUUUUUUAACAUCAUCAACAGACUUCUUAAUUAAGCUGCCAAUACAUACUGCCAAUAGCACUGUGUGCUGUCUGAGAAAUGCAUUGUGUAAGUGCUAUUUCCAUCUUAUUAAAUAA
This is a long non-coding RNA of Homo sapiens (human), 1805 nucleotides long. Ensembl annotates it as NR2F1 antisense RNA 1. Its record names the gene NR2F1-AS1. The record is from Ensembl. NCBI's taxonomy places the organism in Eukaryota, Metazoa, Chordata, Mammalia, Primates, Hominidae.